GUGCCAGCCGCCGCGGUAAUACAGAGGGUGCAAGCGUUGUCCGGAAUCACUGGGCGUAAAGGGCGCGUAGGCGGCUUGGUAAGUAGGGGGUGAAAUUCUGCGGCUCAACCGCAGGACGGCCUCCUAAACUGCCUGGCUUGAGCACGGUAGAGGCUGGUGGAAUUCCCGGUGUAGCGGUGGAAUGCGUAGAGAUCGGGAAGAACAUCGGUGGCGAAGGCGGCCAGCUGGGCCGUUGCUGACGCUGAGGCGCGACAGCGUGGGGAGCAAACAGGAUUAGAAACCCGCGUAGUCC
Molecule: ribosomal RNA, 292 nt
Filed under: uncultured bacterium
Lineage: Bacteria
Description: partial 16S ribosomal RNA
Rfam family: Bacterial small subunit ribosomal RNA
Source: RNAcentral